RNAcentral lists this transfer RNA (77 nucleotides) under Candidatus Woesebacteria bacterium RBG_13_36_22. RNAcentral describes it as "tRNA-His". Lineage: Bacteria; Candidatus Woeseibacteriota. The record is from RNAcentral.
GUGGCCGAUGCCGAAGCGGUGGAGGCGUAGGGUUGUGGCCCCUAUUUUAGCGGAUUCAACUUCCGCCGGCCACCCCA